Molecule: ribosomal RNA, 238 nt
Filed under: uncultured bacterium
Lineage: Bacteria
Description: partial 16S ribosomal RNA
Rfam family: Bacterial small subunit ribosomal RNA
Source: RNAcentral
CGGCGGACGGGUGAGUAACGCGUGGGUAACCUGCCUUACACUGGGGGAUAACAGUUAGAAAUGACUGCUAAUACCGCAUAAGCGCACAGUGCCGCAUGGCACGGUGUGGAAAACUCCGGUGGUGUAAGAUGGACCCGCGUCUGAUUAGGUAGUUGGUAGGGUAGCGGCCUACCAAGCCGACGAUCAGUAGCCGACCUGAGAGGGUGACCGGCCACAUUGGGACUGAGACACGGCCCAA